GACGAACGCUGGCGGCGUGCUUAACACAUGCAAGUCGAACGGAAAGGCCCUGCUUUUGUGGGGUGCUCGAGUGGCGAACGGGUGAGUAACACGUGAGUAACCUGCCCUUGACUUUGGGAUAACUUCAGGAAACUGGGGCUAAUACCGGAUAGGAGCUCCUGCUGCAUGGUGGGGGUUGGAAAGUUUCGGCGGUUGGGGAUGGACUCGCGGCUUAUCAGCUUGUUGGUGGGGUAGUGGCUUACCAAGGCUUUGACGGGUAGCCGGCCUGAGAGGGUGACCGGCCACAUUGGAACUGAGAUACGGCCCAGACUCCUACGGGGGGCAGCAGUGGGGAAUAUUGCACAAUGGGCGGAAGCCUGAUGCAGCAACGCCGCGUGCGGGAUGACGGCCUUCGGGUUGUAAACCGCUUUCGCCUGUGACGAAGCGUGAGUGACGGUAAUGGGUAAAGAAGCACCGGCUAACUACGUG
RNAcentral lists this ribosomal RNA (468 nucleotides) under uncultured bacterium. RNAcentral describes it as "partial 16S ribosomal RNA". It matches the Rfam family "Bacterial small subunit ribosomal RNA", at positions 28 to 507 of the family's 1533-position model. The record is from RNAcentral.